Molecule: ribosomal RNA, 253 nt
Filed under: uncultured bacterium
Lineage: Bacteria
Description: partial 16S ribosomal RNA
Rfam family: Bacterial small subunit ribosomal RNA
Source: RNAcentral
UACAGAGGUCUCAAGCGUUGUUCGGAUUCAUUGGGCGUAAAGGGCGCGUAGGCGGCGCGGUAAGUCGGGUGUGAAAUCUUGGAGCUUAACUCCGAAACUGCAUUCGAUACUGCUGUGCUUGAGGACUGGAGAGGAGACUGGAAUUUACGGUGUAGCGGUGAAAUGCGUAGAUAUCGUGAGGAAGACCAGUGGCGAAGGCGGGUCUCUGGACGGUACCUGACGCUGAGGCACGAAGGCCAGGGGAGCAAACGGG